This 107-nucleotide small nucleolar RNA is filed under the name Oryza punctata. RNAcentral's name for it is "Plant small nucleolar RNA R71". It matches the Rfam family "Plant small nucleolar RNA R71". Rfam says of the family: R71 is a member of the C/D box family of snoRNAs containing the C (UGAUGA) and D (CUGA) box motifs. Multiple nearly identical copies of this snoRNA have been identified in Arabidopsis, and it is thought to function as a 2'-O-ribose methylation guide for 18S ribosomal RNA. Lineage: Eukaryota; Viridiplantae; Streptophyta; Magnoliopsida; Poales; Poaceae. The record is from Rfam by way of RNAcentral.
AUCCCAUGAUGAGGACACGCCAAGAUGUACUCCUGGAGCCUCUCUCAUGCCUCUGGGAUUGACUCAUUCAUUGCUUGUUGGAAGUUCGAAAUCUUUCCACGAAGGAC